GGGCGUUUACGGAGACGAAAAUCUCACUUUUCAUGCAGUGAGGAUAGCAGCAAGCUCCAGGACAUUGACAAGAAUGGCAAAAGUACUCUGAAAGGUUGUCAAAUUACAUACCAGACUAGUCUCUAACUUUGAUUAGGUAUAAAACAGGUACACAAGUCACCACUCUAAUCAAUUGGAUUCUACAUCGCUGCAGAAUUAUUUGGUACACCCAGUGACACAUGCAAUGCAACUUUAUUCCUAAACGUUACCAUACAUAUUAAUCAAAUUCCAUACUAAGGCAUAGUUAUACCUCAAGAUGCUUAUAUUUUAUUUUCAAAUUUGAAGGUCUGCAUUGCUGCUGUCAAGCGACAGAGGAAAAGAUGUAUGAGGAUUGGUGGUCGUCAUCAAGUUGUUGUUAUUGACGAGAGCAAAUUUGCCCACAAACGAAAGUACCAUCAUUGUCGAUGUGGCAACACUUGGCGCCGUGAACGGCAGUGGGUCUUUGGGAUGUUGGAGGUCGACAAGAAGUCCAGAAGACCCAUUCUGAGACUUGUCAGGGAUCGCAGAAGGAAGACACUUAUAGGUCAUAUUAGACGCCAUGUCAGACCCAGAACAUCCAUCCUCAGUGAUGAAUGGCGUGCCUACAAAGGGCAACUUGCCCAGUAUGGGUAUGAUCAUUAUUCGGUCUGCCAUAAAAACAACUUUGUGGACCGAGAGACUGGUGCUCAUACUCAGCAUAUUGAGCGUGCAUAGUAAAGCUACAAGCUGGAAGUAUGGCGUCACAGAGGGAAUCGUACUCCUGAAUCACUCAAGCUUCAUCUUAAGAUGAUAGAAUGGCACCACUGGUUGGGUGUACACCAUUACAAUGGCGUGUUGGGCAGACUUUUCCAUGAUUUUUUUUUUUUUUACUUUACUUUUUACUGAUGUGAAAAAACUUGUUUUUUCACAUCAGUAAAAAGUAAAGUAAAAAAAAAAAAAAUCUCAACAAUGUCUGCUGGCAUUUAUGCAUCUAUGUUGUGGCGUUAAACUCAUUAUAUGUUCUCCUGAGCAGAUCCUUGCUUGUGUUUUACAAACUGUCACUGGAUGAACAUCACAACAAAAUGUUUUGUUUUGAAAUACAUAAAGGAAAAACUAUCUCUUGA
This is a non-coding RNA of Gasterosteus aculeatus aculeatus (three-spined stickleback), 1121 nucleotides long. The record is from RefSeq and is a predicted model, not a curated record. NCBI's taxonomy places the organism in Eukaryota, Metazoa, Chordata, Actinopteri, Perciformes, Gasterosteidae.